Molecule: ribosomal RNA, 396 nt
Filed under: uncultured bacterium
Lineage: Bacteria
Description: partial 16S ribosomal RNA
Rfam family: Bacterial small subunit ribosomal RNA
Source: RNAcentral
AUACGUAGGUGGCAAGCGUUGUCCGGAAUUAUUGGGCGUAAAGCGCAUGUAGGCGGUUUGGUAAGUCGGUCGUGAAAAUGCGGUGCUUAACGCCGUAUGGCGAUUGAAACUGCUGAACUUGAGUGCCGGAGAGGAAAGGGGAACUCCCAGUGUAGCGGUGAAAUGCGUAGAUAUUGGGAAGAACAUCGGUGGCGAAGGCGCCUUUCUGGACUGUGUCUGACGCUCAGAUGCGAAAGCCAGGGUAGCGAACGGGAUUAGAUGCCCCGGUAGUCCUGGCCGUAAACGAUGGGUACUAGGUGUGGGAGGUAUCGACUCCUUCCGUGCCGGAGUUAACGCAAUAAGUACCCCGCCUGGGGAGUACGGCCGCAAGGCUUAAACUCAAAUGAAUUGACGGGG